This 301-nucleotide ribosomal RNA is filed under the name uncultured bacterium. RNAcentral describes it as "partial 16S ribosomal RNA". It matches the Rfam family "Bacterial small subunit ribosomal RNA", at positions 509 to 809 of the family's 1533-position model. The record is from RNAcentral.
CAGCAGCCGCGGGAAAACAGAGGGUGCAAGCGUUAAUCGGAAUUACUGGGCGUAAAGCGCGCGUAGGUGGUUUGUUAAGUUGGAUGUGAAAGCCCCGGGCUCAACCUGGGAACUGCAUCCAAAACUGGCAAGCUAGAGUACGGUAGAGGGUGGUGGAAUUUCCUGUGUAGCGGUGAAAUGCGUAGAUAUAGGAAGGAACACCAGUGGCGAAGGCGACCACCUGGACUGAUACUGACACUGAGGUGCGAAAGCGUGGGGAGCAAACAGGAUUAGAGACCCGUGUAGUCCCUGUCUCUUAUAA